AGUGAACGCUGGCGGUAGGCCUAACACAUGCAAGUCGAACGGCAGCACAGUAAGAGCUUGCUCUUACGGGUGGCGAGUGGCGGACGGGUGAGGAAUACAUCGGAAUCUACUUUUUCGUGGGGGAUAACGUAGGGAAACUUACGCUAAUACCGCAUACGACCUACGGGUGAAAGCAGGGGAUCUUCGGACCUUGCGCGAUUGAAUGAGCCGAUGUCGGAUUAGCUAGUUGGCGGGGUAAAGGCCCACCAAGGCGACGAUCCGUAGCUGGUCUGAGAGGAUGAUCAGCCACACUGGAACUGAGACACGGUCCAGACUCCUACGGGAGGCAGCAGUGGGGAAUAUUGGACAAUGGGCGCAAGCCUGAUCCAGCCAUACCGCGUGGGUGAAGAAGGCCUUCGGGUUGUAAAGCCCUUUUGUCGGGAAAGAAAUCCAGCCGGCUAAUACCUGGUUGGGAUGACGGUACCCAAAGAAUAAGCACCGGCUAACUUCGUG
This 492-nucleotide ribosomal RNA is filed under the name uncultured bacterium. Its description in RNAcentral is "partial 16S ribosomal RNA". It matches the Rfam family "Bacterial small subunit ribosomal RNA", at positions 29 to 507 of the family's 1533-position model. The record is from RNAcentral.